ACUUCCUUAUGCUUCUACAUAUCACCUCCUUGCUGAGAGGAGUUUCUAUGUCCCUAUGCGUGAUGUCAAGCAAUUUUCAUCAAGGCCUAAAUGGACGCAUGUCUUGGCUUAUCAUCUUUCCAAGAUGGGUGUCCCACAAGGUGCGCAGCCAGCUCUCAUUGUAAGAAUACUUGACUACACUGAAGAGGCCGACAACCACAGCUUUGAGUUGCCAAUUCUUGUGCAUAUUGUGGAUGCCACUUAUCACUAUCUGAAGUCGGACCACAACAACGACAUCCUUGAUAGGGUUAUGAGGCAAUCCUCGGAAGCAUACAGGGCCAUGCUUAUUCCUGCAGCUCAAUCAUCCAUUCAGGGCUUGGAGAAUGUGAGGCUUGAUGAUCCUACUUUGGCCCCGUUGUCCUCAUGUAUUAUUUGUAUGGAGGGCCUCCUCCUUGAUCAUCAUGAUGAUCAUCACUCUGAUCAUAUUAAUGCCGUCCCUGCUUCUCAAGAUGAUCAUCAUGAUCAAGAUCAAGGUCAAGGGGUUGAUUGUCGCCAUCCACCAAGGACGAUCAAACGCUUGCCCUGCUUACACCAAUUUCACGAAGAUUGCAUCGUCCCGUGGCUGCAGAUCAAUCACUUGUGUCCCCUGUGCCGAUACCCGCUGGAAGUGCGCGAGUCAUCAAAACCCAAACGAAGGAGAUUAUCAUGAAAUAAUGAAAGAAGACCUGCAGCCAUGAUGCUCAGCUGGAACAAUAUAUGGCAGAAGCUGGCUUGAUUAGUAUGUUCUCUUCGGGAUCAUAAAAUCAACAUGCAUGUGGGAACAUUGUACCUGGUAUUCCUCUUCUAGAGGCUUGGCAAGCUGUGUGCACAGGAGCAUCAUAUACUCAUAUCAUCAAAGUCUUUAGAAGAAAGAAGAGUGGAGUUUGGAGUUGAGACUGAAGGUUAUUAGUCUUACACCUCCCAAAUAUUAAGGCUAUUGAGGUGUGGUCUGUGGAAUGGAUCCAGGCUAUCAAGUUCAUGGAUGGAAACUGCACAGGUUGAAUGUACCUUGUUCAAUGAAGAGAUUUUAGCGAUUAAAUUUAUGACUGAAUCUAUCGAGUUAAUAUGCGAGCACAUAUCGAUCACCAAUAAGGUUUCUACUAUUAAUCACUAAUUUCAAAGAUUAUCUUUUUGCUGAGGAUGACAACUCAGAUUUCAAGAGAAUUGCAAGAGUAACACUCCAUUAUGUUGAAGAAAUUCACCACUAUGAUACAAGUUUUUUCUUCUAUUAUUGUGCAAUUUAUUCGCAAAUUUAGUUAUGUAGGAAGGAAGGCAGCAUGCUUGUGCAAUUUAUUCACAAAUUUAUUUA
Prunus mume (Japanese apricot) is the source of this 1327-nucleotide non-coding RNA. The record is from RefSeq and is a predicted model, not a curated record. NCBI's taxonomy places the organism in Eukaryota, Viridiplantae, Streptophyta, Magnoliopsida, Rosales, Rosaceae.